RNAcentral lists this long non-coding RNA (16091 nucleotides) under Capsicum annuum. RNAcentral's name for it is "long non-coding RNA (CANN_LNC019598)". The record is from RNAcentral. Lineage: Eukaryota; Viridiplantae; Streptophyta; Magnoliopsida; Solanales; Solanaceae.
UGACACGAUCAGAACCAGGGUUUGGUCAAGACGGGUAUCCCAAGUGCAACAAGGACCGGAGACCGCCCCCAACACCCAAACCAUCGGCCACCUUACACCCAUGUCGGAUGAAUUCUGAACAUAUAACAAGAUAAGAGAACUUGAAAUUAAAGAUAUUAUGAUGUGUAUAACCAAACCAACCAACACCCAAACCACCCCAAGUCCAUAGUAGUCCAACAAAGCCUCUACCAAAGUGAAUAUUAAUAAUGUGUCGGGACAUGCCCCCGACUAUAUUCAAAAAUAGUGUUCAAUAGUCUAUAACUCAAGAAAACAUAAUCCUGAAAUAGAGCCAUUCGAAGCAUGGAAGCUCACCACUUCAAGUCGACUCUUGAUCAAUCCACAAUCACUGAGCAGGAGAAGUAGAGGUAUGGCCAAAUCCUGCAUCGCGUGGGGAUAAAGCGUCCAAAGACGGUUAGCAGGGUGAACGCUAGCAUAUAACUUGGGGACAAAGAUAAAAUAAUGCCACAAUCAAUAAUUUCAAAUCAUUCAAAUCCAAUGCACACAAUCAAAUGCAUAUACGUAUACUUAUAACAUGUCGGGACCGAAAACAAGGCUUAACAUGCACUUUAAAAUCUUAACAUGAAUUGUGUAGCUCAACCAUGAUAUCAUAGUACCCACGAGUUAUAUGUGCCCCAGUUCUCACCACGGUCGGGCUCUAGUGCGUGUAGCCGCACAAAUCGAAAAAUAAUCUCAUAUAUAUAUGUGCGGGGGACUCGAACCUCCUAACCAUAUACUAAGGUGACUUAAGCACUCGAUUACAUAAUGAUUUACUCGGGACUCAAACCAAUCAUAAUAAUAACAAUAAGGUGGACUCGAACCACUUGGUCACAAGCAAGGGGACUCGAACCCUCACACCAUAAUGACCCCCGCACCGGCUAGCGUGGUUUUCAAUAUUGAUCACUUGGACCUCCACUUUCACGACUCAGCUACACAACCUUCUUUUAAAGCCCAAUUAAAAACAUUUAUCACAUAUUUUUAUUCAUUGAACCAUAUUUCACAUUAAGACAUAUAUUGUUGGUAUCAUCAUACCAACUACACUUGCAAGGUAAUAACAACAUGCCGAGACAAUUUUCAUUAACUUGGGAAGAACAACUCCCUUUGUUCAUUAAUACAAGGUGGGGGAACCCUGACUCUCUUUGUUUAUUAAAUCAGACCAUUGUGUUUCAAAUACCUCUUUCUAUAAUGCAAUAGUUCAAGACUAGUUCAAUUUUAUAAAUUCCCACAUUUCUCAUAAUUAAAAUCCAAUUUCUCAUUAUGGGGUUGGGGUCAUAAUUACUUCAAAAGUCACAAGCUUGAGAAAACCAUAAUUUCCUAGUUCAUUCACCAUACUCAUGCACCCACAAGUUCAAAACCAUAUUUAAAGCAUGAAAAUUAUAUAUAAACCAUGAGAAACAUUGUUCAAUUUAUAAAUAACUAAAAACCCCAACCGUUGUUUCAAAACCAACAUAAACAUCCCAUGAAUAAUACUUUCAAACACAUGCUUUUACAAAAUUAACAAUGAGGGAAGAGUAACAUGCAUGAAAUAGUAAGAUGUACAGAGAGAAAUCACCCUUGAAAGCCCUAAGUGGUCAACCUCUUAAAAACCCUAAGUGUUCUUGACCUUGAGGAUUUAAGAGUAAUUGAGGAGUUACUUUGAUGUGUUUUUUUGGGCUAAUAAUACCCUAAAGAGGUUAUAAGAUGUGUAUUUCAGUUUGGGUAAGAGGAAAAAUAUCCAGAAUGCCCUUAACUUAAAAGUUACAAAAAGUGCCACCUUUGACUACGAGUCAACCCUUGACUCGUAGCCACUCCUUACGACUCGUUACCACGAGUCGUAACCAAGGUAUUACUACCAAGGCACCCUAACUGUUAUCCUUACAACUUAAUGGCACCACCCGUACUGGGACCCUAGGACUCGUAUGGUCCAGUCAUAGUCAAUACAAAACCCAAAUUAGGACUUACACUGGACACCCUAUGAUUACACCUAAUGACUCGUGACAUAUCCUUAUGGCUUUUAGUGAGCCACUCAUACUCAGAGCAAAAUCAAGACACAAACUUACUGAAUUGGUUAUGACUUAUCCCGACGACAUGUCAAGACACCCUAUGACUCAUAGGGUGAGUCGUUACCAAGGUAGUAAGCUUAAGGCUAAUGAAGUUUUCAAGGGCCAAAAGCCAGGGUAUUUCAAUUCUUCCCCACUUGGAUCGUUUGUUCACGAAUGAUGGGUCAAGGCAAUUGCUAUCAUGAUUUGACUCCACAUACCUCUACUCUUACCUUUAACAAAGACAAAAAACAAAGAUACCAACGAAAUCACACUUUCUUUUAACAAAGUAAAAAAACAAAGAUGCUAAGAAAUACACAUACCUUUAGCACGAUUAUCCUGAGCAAAAAACAAGAAUGGAUACUUGGACUUCAUGUUCUCUUCGGCUUCCCACAUAGCUUCCUCCACCGUUUGGUUCAUCUAUAGAACCUUUACCAAAGCCAUGCCCCUUGUUUGCAGCCGACAAAUAUAUCGAUCCAAGAUUUCAACUGGGACUUCUUCAUAAGAUAAAGAAUCUAAAAUACUUCCCUCAUCCAAAGGAAUAACCGUCAAAGGAUCACUUAUGCUCUUUCUCAACAUCGAAAUGUCAAACACUAGAUGAAUGGAGCUCAAACUAGACGGCAACUCUAAUUCAUAUGCAACAUUACCAACCCUCUUCAACACCAAGUAUAGACCGACAUAAUGGGGACUGAGUUUUCCUUUCUUACCAAACCACAUCACUCCCUUCAUGGGGGACACCUUUAAGAAUACCCAAUCACUAACCUUCUUCGGCUCACAUACGCGUAGGACUUUUGGUGACAUUAGGCAGCUUUACGUCUAUCUCAAAUCACUUUCACCUUCUUAAUGGCUUGGUGAACCAAAUCAGGGCCAAAUAUCUCUACCUCAGCAACCUCGAACCACCCAAUAAGAUAUCUACACCUCCUACCAUAUAACGCCUUAAACAAAGACAUGCUAAUACUAGAGUAGUGGCUAUUAUUAUACGCAAACUCAAUAACAGGAAAAUAAUCAACCCAGCUACCACCACAGUCAAUCACACAAGCUCAAAGCAUAUCUUUCAAUGUAUGAAUAGUUCUUUUUGCUUGCCUAUUCAACAAUGGGUGGAAAGUAGUACUAAGGCUCACCUUAAUUCCCAAACUUCUUUGAAAAGAACACCAAAAGUGUGAUAAGAACUAACUACCAUGAUCUGACAUGCUAGCAAUAGGUGCCCCAUACAACUUCACAAUCUCCUGGAGGAACAACUUUGCAUAGUCUUCUGCCGAAAAGUUAGUUUUCACUGGCAAGAAGUGAGCAAACUUAGUCAUCCUAUCCACGAUGACCUAAAUUGAAUCAAAUUGAUUCAGAGAUCAAGGAAUAUUGUUAAUGAAGUCUAUAUUAAUCACUUCCCAGUUCCAUGCAGGCAAUUCAAUUUCUUAAUACAAACUUUCAAGCCGUAAGUGCUCAACCUUUACUUGUUGAAACACCAUACAUUUAGCCAUAAAACUGGCCAUAUCUCACUUCAUAUUGUUCCACUAAUAAAUCUCCUUAAGAUCAUGAUACAUCUUUAUUAAAACAGGAUGAAUGGCAUAAUGCGACUCAUGAGCCUCAACCAAGAUCCUCUAUUGCAACUAAUCUACAUCGGGAAUACAUAAUCUGCCUUGGUACCUCAAGAUACCAUUUCCACCAAUCUCAAAAGCUACAACCUUUUGUUGUGCCACAUCUCCCUUAAUCUUCAUUAAGACAAGAUCCAGUACCUGCAUCUCCUUUAACAAGGGAUGACUUUGCCACCUCUUGCACUAACAUACCACCAUCCUCAGAGUCCAAGAGACAAACUCUAAGGUUAGCUUAAUAGUGAAUAUCUUUCACCAAAUCUCGCUUAUCCUCAUCCACAUGAUCUAGACUCCCCAUGGAUAACCUACUAAGAGCAUCAACAACCAUAUUAAUUUACCUGGGUGGUAGUGGAGACUCAUGUCGUAGUCUUUUAGUAACUCAAGUCACUUUCUCUCUUUGAGAUUCAACUCCUUCUAGGUGAACACAUAUUCCAGGAUCUUAUGAUCAGAAAAGAUAUCUAUAUGGACUUCAUAUAAAUAGUGAUGCCAAAUAUUCAAUGCAAACACCAUAACUAGUAAUUCCAAAUCAUGGGUUGGAUAAUUCUUCUAAUUAACUUUCAACAAUCUAGAGGCAUAAGCAACUACCUUUCCAUGUUGUAUUAACACAUAGCUAAGUCCUAUACGGGAAAGAUCACAAUAAAUCACAAAUCCAUCAUUGGCCUCGGGUAGGGUCAAAACUGAAUCUAAAAUCAACUUAUCUUUCAACUUCUCGAAACUACCCUCACAUAUCAGACCACAAUAACUUUACCUUUUUCUAGGUCAACUUAGUCAGCGGGGUAUCUAUAGUUGAAAAACUCUCCACAAAUCUCCUAUAGUAACCGGCUAAACCAAGAAGCUUUGAAUAUCAGUUGGAGCAUGGGCCUAGGCCACUUUUUAAUACUGCACCUUUCUGCGGAUCCACCAUGAUUCCUUCAUUAAAAAUGACAUGACCCAUAAAAGUAACAACUCUCAACCAGGACUCACACUUUAAAAACCUAACAUACAAAUAUUGAUCCUUCAAGGUUUGCAACACGAUACAAAGAUGAUCGACAUGAUCCGCCUCACUCUUAGAAUACACCAGAAUAUCAUUUAUAAACACAAUAAUAGAUAAACCUAGAAAUUGAUGGAAGACCCUAUUUAUCAAGUCCAUGAAUAUCGUCGGGGAAUUAGUUAAACCAAAGAACAUGACUAUAAACUAAUAAUGACCAUACUGGAUUCAAAUGGCAGUUUUAGGGAUAUCCACCUCCAUAAUCUUUAGCUGAUGAUAACCAAACCUAAGAUCAAUCUUAGAGAAACAUCAAGCAACCUUAAGCUGGUAAAAAAAUCAUCAAUCCAAGGAAGAGGAUACUUAUUCUUCACCAUAACCCUAUUUAAUUGAAGGUAAUCGAUGCACGUCUGAAGGGAAUCAUCCUUCUUACGUACGAACAAAAUAAGAGCACCCCACGAAGACACAUUAGGAUGGAUAAAACCCUUGUCAAGAAGGUCUUUCAAUUGCUCCUUCAACUCAGUCGGAGCUAUUCUAUAAGGAGGGAUAGAGAUAAAAUGAGUGUCCAAAACAAGGUUAAUCCCAAAUCAAUCUCCCUAUCAAGAAGGACACCAGGAAGAUCAUCGGAAAAAAUCUCGGGGAAAUCAUUAACCAUAGGAAUGGAUUGUAAGAAAGGACCCUCCGAGUUAGAAUCUUUAACCCAGACCAAAUGAUAAAGACAUCCCUUGGGAAUCAACUUUUGGGCUCUAAGAUAUGAUAUGAAUCUCUCCUUAGGCAUGAGAGAACCCUCUUCCCACUUAAUGACUGGCUCAUUAGAGAAUUUAAACAUAACCUUAUGGGUUCAACAAUCAAAGAAGGCAUAGAAUGAGUGUAACCAGUCCAUCCCCAAUAUGAUAUAAAAAUAAACCAUGUCUAACUCUAUCAGAUAUACCAGAGUUUCUCUGCCACUAUCAGAUACCACAUAACCCCUAUAGAUUCUUCUAGCAACCACAGAGUCACCUACUAGGGUAGAAAUAAAAAGGGAUCAGGGAUACACUCGGGACUAAAACCAAAAUAUAUAGCCAUAAAUGGGGUCACAUAACAAAGAGUAGACCCCGGAUCAAUCAAGAAAUACAUUUCAUGAGAAAAGAGUCGUAACAUACUAGUGACGUCAUUGGGAGAUACCUCAGAGUCCUGGCGGGUAGCAAGGGCAUACAAGUGAUUUCGUCUAGUACCGGUAAUAAAAACAAAAGCAACACCCUUUGGUGCAGGAGCUGGUAAAGUGGCAACAUGAAUCUUAUUUGCCACAAAAGCAACCUUAGAAGGGCAAUUCCAAUGCAAAUAACUAAUCUGACCAUAUUUAAAACACCUGUUCCUCUCCUCUUCACAAAAACCACGAUGCACCUGUCCGUAAAAUAUACAAGAAGGAUAUGAUAGAGUUGACUGAGCCCUACCAACCUAAGAUUGGUCACCAUGUGACCUAAACCCACUAUCAUGAUGAGAACGAUAAUCACCUGACGGCUUCGGAUAAGGGGCACUACCUGUAGAGUAGGAACCAGAAAUCUUCCACUUUUUUAGACCACUUUUCACCAUCUCAACCAUUCUACUAUUGAACUCCACCCUAAUAAGAAAAUCUAAACUUUUUACCCUGUCUCUCCUCUAUCUCUACCUGCUUCUUCUUCUCUUUCUCAACCUGUUGCAUAUACACAAUCAACCUAGAGACAUCUUUUUGUUCAACAAGGCAGCCUUAAUGUAAGACCCCACAAAAUCCUAAGCUUAACUCAGUUUUUUAAGCUUGCUAAGGGAUUCCAGACUUAGAAAAUUCUAGCUAAGUAUUUAGAUUUAGUGUUAUUUGGCCUUCGUAAGUUGUCAACUCUAUUUCACGACCUCUAUGAACUUAAAAUAUUAAUCUUUGGGUUGAUUCAAGAUAAAAAAUAUUAGUAGGUGUUUCCAGACGAGUUUCAUAUUUUUCGAACCUUAUUUGAACCAUAUUUGGGAAUCCAAAAUAGUGUAUCGAUGCGAUCUCGGCGUGGCGCAUCGGCCAUCGCGUUGAUAGAUAUUUUUCUUGGCUCCAGUGGUAAUUUAUAGUGAACCAACAUGGAAUCGAUGCGGUGCGUUGGCUAUCGCGUUGAUGCCAAUGACGCGACAUAUCGGCCUACGCGUCAAUGGUUUAAUUUUUAGUUAAUUAAAAAGCUGCAUCUUUGGGGGUAAUUAGAUCUUUUUCCCACGUCCUUCAGCCCCCAAAACAUAUCAUUAAGCCAUCCAAAAGGAAAAAUAUACUCAUUCUCUCUAGAAUAUGACCUUCUCUGAUGAAGGUUUAGGUUAUAUUCUUGUGAAAAGAGUUUUUAGGAGUUGAAGACUCGACUCACUACAGCUCCAGUUUUGACCCUAUCAGAUGGUUCAGAUGGGUUUGUAGUAUAUUGUGAUUCCUCCAGAGUUGGUUUGGGGUGUGUUUUGAUGCAGAGAGGUAAGGUCAUAGCCUAUGCCUCUAGAUAGCUUAAGCCCCAUAAAAAGAACUAUCCUACUCAUGAUCUUGAGUUAGCAGCAGUUGUUUUUUCCUUAAAGAUUUGGAGGCACUAUUUGUAUAGGGUGCAUGUUGAUGUGCUCACAGACCAUAAGAGCCUUCAGUAUAUAUUCUCUCAGAAAGACCUAAACCUCCGUCAUAGAAGGUGGUUGGAGUUGUUGAAAGACUACGACAUAAGCAUCCUGUAUCAUUCAGGUAAAGCCAAUGUAGUAGCUGAUGCUCUUAGUAGAAUGUCUAUGGGAAGUGUUGUGCAUGUGGAGGAUGGUAAGAAGAAAUUAGUUCAGAAAGUUAAUCAGCUUGCUUGACUAGGUGUUUGAUUAGUCGAUUUGGCAGAAGGUAGUGUUUGGGUGCAGAGUAGUUCAGAUUCAUCCCUGGUUUCUGAGAUAAGAGAAAAGCAGGAUACGGAUCCAAGUCUAGCCAAGUUGAAGGAAUCAGUCAGAGAUUAGAAAGUAGAGAUCUUCUUCCAAGGGGAGAUGAUGUGUUGCGUUGUCAGGGUUGGCUAUGCGUGCCAGGCGUAGAUGACUUGAGACAACUAAUUCUUGCAGAAGCGCAUGGUGUACGAUACUCUAUUCAUCUAGGGGCCACUAAGAUAUACCGUGAUUUACGGGAGAUCUAUUGGUGGAGUGGGAUAAAAAGAGAUAUUACAGAGUUUGUGGCUAAGUGCUCAGAAGCCUAGUAGAUCUAUUGUAGAUCAGAAUCCUAGUAGGUCCAUGCAGGAGUUUAGUAUCCUCACUUGGAAGUGGGAAGAAGUGAACAUGGACUUUGUGACAGGUUUGCCUCGUACUUGUCGCCAACAUGAUUCAGUUCUGGUCAUUGUAGACAGAAUGACCAAAUCAGCUUAUUUCCUACCAGUCUAUACCUCUUACUCAGCCAAGGAUUAUGUGAAACUCUAUAUCAGGGAGUUGGUUAGAUUAAACGGUGUUCCAUUUUCCAUUAUCUUAGAUAGAGGUACCCAGUUCACCUAUUAUUUUUGGAAGGUAUUCCAAAAGGGUCUUGGUACCCGAGUUCACGUCAGUACAACCUUUUAUCCUCAGACAGAUGGUCAAGCAAAAAGGACCAUUUAGACUUUAGAAGAUAUGCUGUGAGCAUGUGCGGUAGACUUUAAAGGUAGUUGAGAUGAUACCUUUGAUUGAAUUCGCAUAUAACAACAGCUAACAUUCUAAUAUUCAGAUGGCUCCAUUUGAGGUGCUUUAUGGGAAGAGGUGUAGAUCUCCCAUUAGUUGGUUUGAAAUAGGUGAGGCCACAGUAGUAGGGCCUGACUUGGUAUUUGAUACUUUAGAGAAAGUCGAAUUGAUCAGAGAAAGGCUUAAGACAGCUCAGAGCCGACAGAAAUCAUAUGCAGAAGUACGCAGAAAAGAUCUCAAGUUUGAGAUUGGUGAUUUGGUGUAUUUGAAAAUCUCUCAUAUCAAAAGAGUGAAGAGGUUUGGAAAAAAGGGGAAAAUCAGUCCCCGAUAUAUCGGUCCUUACCAAAUUCUCAGCCAUUUUGGAAAGGUAGCUUACGAGCUUGAGUUGCCUUCAGACUUAGCUUCAGUGCAUCCAGUAUUCCAUGUCUCCUUUCUUAAGAAAUACAUAGGUGACCCAUCAGUCGUAGUCCCUAUCGAGGGUAUAGAUAUUCAGAAUAGCCUCUCUUAUUAAGAGAUACCAGUCAAAAUCCUUAAUUAUAAGAUUUGCAGACUGAGGAACAAAGAAGUCACUCUAGUCAAAGUACUUUGGCCAAAUAAGUCUGUUGAAGGAGCUACUUGGGAAGAAGAAGCAGACAUUCAGACGAAGUAUCCUCACCUCUUCUCCACAAAUUCAGACUCAGCUCAAGGUAACAAUUUUCCUUUGAAAUUACUCAGUCUCAUGUUCAGAUAUAGCUACUAACUUGGUAUCAAUUAACAUUGCAUACUCAGUCAUGCAUACAUAAAUCAGUUAAGUCAUAUGCUCAUGCAUCAGAUAUGCAUGUACAGUAUAUAAACUCCGCUUAUCAGUAAUCCCAGUCAUGCAAUUAUGAAUCAUGUUCAACUAUGUACUCAUGCAUCAGAUAUGCAUGUUCAAUAUGAUAAUUCAGUACUUCAAAAAUCUCAAUCAUAAAAUUAUGCUUCAGUUGUGCAUGUCCAGUGUCUAAAUUCAGUCUAUCAGUAUUCUCAAUUUAAUUAGUCUCAUUCGAGGAUGAAUGUUCCCAAGGAGGAGAUAUUGUAAGACCCUACAAAAUUCUAAGCGUAACUCAGUCUUUUAAGCUUGCUAAGGGGUCCCAGACUUAGAAAAUUCUAGCUAAGUAUUAGGCUUAAUGUCAUUUUGGCGUUCGUAAGUUGGAAACUCUAUUUCAUGACAUCUAUGACCUUAAAAUGUCAAUCUUUAGGUUGAUUCAUGAUAAAAAAUGUCAUUAGGUGUUUCUGGAUGAGUUUUGUAUUUUUUGGACCUCGUUUGAACCACUUUUGGGAAUCCAAAAUAAUAUAUCAAUGCGAUCUCGGUGCGGUAUGUCAGCCAUCGCAUUGAUCAAUAUUUUUCUUGUCUCCCAGUGGCAAUUCCUACUGAACCAACGAGGACUCAAUGUGGUGCGUUGGCUAUCGCGUCGAUGCCAAUGAUGCAAAGCUUCGGUCUGCGCGUUGAUGAUUCAAUUUUUAGUCAAUUAAAAAGCCGCAUCUUUGGGGGGUAAUUAGGUCUUUUUCCCAUGUCCUUCAUCCCCCAAAACAUAUCAUUAAGCCAUCCAAGAGGCAAAAUAUACUCAUUCUCUAGAAUUUAUCAAGAACAAACCCUAGUUCAUCAUAUUCAAGAUCCAAGACUAAAGUUUUUCACCAUUAUUCUUCAAGAAUUCACCAUUUAAGGUAUGUUACGUGUUCAUCCAAGGGUUCCUUCCACCUUUGGAGUCCAAGAAACUCUUUUAAACUUCAAGUAGUUGGAAUUUAUGAUUUCCAUGAUUGGAAUUAAAGUGUAUUCAUGAUUAUUAUUUGAAUUAGGUUUCUAUUUCAUGAUUUAUUAUACAUUUCACGAGGAAUUGAUUAUUAUGUGUGUAGAUUCGUGUGAAUCCAUGUUAAACCCCCUUGAAAUUGUGAAAUUUGGAAGUGAAUCAUGAUGCUCACUUAUUAUGUGCAUAUAUUAUGCUCACCAAGUGCUUGAUGAAUUGUUCAUGUGAACUACUAAGGGAAUGAAAUGAUGUCAUGCUAGCUUAUGUGCAAGUUAUACCAUGCAAGUGUUUGAUAAAAUGUCUCUAUAGAUACAUUAUGAACAAGUGUGCAUUUUUAUGCUAUGCAAGAUCAUGUGAUGCUUUACUUUUCAUGCUAUCGAGUCCUGGGGGUAUUUAAUACCCAACAAUUUAGCUGUUUACCUAGAGCUAAUGUUAGUUUCAGAAUAAUCUCAGUCAUGUCCCGAUCAGUAGUACUUUCAGUCAGUUACAGGACUCAGUAAAACUCAGUAGACUCAGUAUCAGUUCAGUCCAGUUCAGUAUUCAGUUCAGACCUCAGUAAAUCCAGUCAGUUACAAAAUUCAGUAGUAUUUCAUCAGUCAAUGAAACUCAGUAUUAAUCGAUAUCAGUUCAGUCAAACCUAGCAUGAACUAGAAAAUCAGUCAGUGUCUAUUUAAAUGGGAGUAGGAUUCAGCUCUGAGUUAACCCAGGGAUGGGAGCAUCCCUGCCAGCAGAGGGUUUGACCUUUAAUAGCAAUCCCUGCAUUACAGAACUACAUAGCUAGCGUAGGUUGAGAUAUCUUUCUGCCAGAUAUUAUGAGGGUUGAUACAUCUCAUUUGAGUUUUCCUACCAGUUAGGGUUGACAAAAGAGCUUUCUGUCAGAGAGGGUUAACUCAAAGCUUGUCUUUACCCGUGGCACGAUAUUGAUACCCUUUCAACUGAGAUUACAGGGUGGACCCCAAUCUAUUUAGAAAGGGGCAUGUCGGUUAUAUGAUUACCUCCCACAGUCUCAGUUUUAAAUUCAGUCUCAAUAUACAACUCAAUCCAGUUCUAUAGAUUCAGGACUGUCAGACAUAGUCACUCAGUUUAGUACGGAAAUCAGUAUAGUUCCACAGAAUCAGGACUGUCAGAAAUAGUCAUUCAGUUAUCAGUAGUAUAAUAUCAGUAAUCUCAGAUAUCAAUAAAUUAGUAUUCAGACUCAGUAUCCAGUAUUUUAACGAUCUUAGUUAUAGUUUACGUAUUCAUUAUGUACUCUCAUUCAGUUAUACUCAUGCCAUUCAGUCAGUAUUGUUCGUGCAUAUGAACCCAUACAUUUUAGCCUACCUCACUUAGUAUACUAGUAUAUUCAAAGUACUGACACAUACUUUUCUCUUGCUCUAUGAAAUCUUAUAUCAUAGGUUUAGAUGUACGGGCUUUUGAGCACCCUUAACAGUUCAGAUUUUCAGUAGUCAGAGUUAGUGGUGAGUCCUCAUAGUUUGAGGACACGAUGAUUAUUUUAGUUGUUCAGCUUAUUUUAGUAGUUCGGAGUUAGUUGGAUACUUGUCCUAUCAACUCCAUAAUGCAGACAGUUUAGAGGCUUUUUUAGACUAGAGUAUUUCCAGACAGAUGUAUCAGAUUUGGUAUUAUUAUACCGCAUUCAGUUUAUUACAAUAUUGAACCUUAUGGCAUGUUUUCUACCUAAUUUCUACAUUUUACAAUAUUAUUAUUCAACUAUUGCAGCAAGUACCAAUCAUGGGUUAGCUUGUGGUCCUUUGGGAUUAUGAGCACCAUGUAGCAUUCGAGGUACAGACUUAGGGUGUUACACUUACUCUCUAGAAUUAAAUCACAGGACAACCCAAAAGCAAAUUUCCUCAUUCUCGUCCUCAUGCUAGAUACUAACUUGGGAGCAUAUUGGGACAACUGAUGGAAUUUCAAGGAAUACUCCUUGACCGUCAUCCUACCUUUUUUCAGAUUGACAAACUCUUUUUCUUUCGCCUCUCUCAGCUCUUGAGGAAAAAAAUAGUCUAGAAAAGAACUAGAGAAAUCAUUCCACAGUGCAGAUUCAGAGUCAUCUCCCCUAGACUGUUCCCAUUCCUCAUUCCAUUGGUAUGCUACAUCCUUCAACUGAUAGGCAGCGAAUUCUACACCUUAACAUUCGAAGCAUGCAUAACCCAAAAGAUUUUCUCCAUCCCAUCUAAAAAACCUUGAGGAUCCUCCUCAACCUUAACACCAGUAAAAGUUAGAGGACUCAACCUCAUAAAAUGGACAAGCCUUGUUACCUCAAAAGAUAGAGUAAUAAAAGCAAGACGCUUCGACUAAGAAGCUACCAACUGAGCCAACAAAUGAAUAGACUGAUGAAAUUCUUCAUUCGAUACAAUAGCUUAAGGAGCUCGAGAAGGACUAGAGGGGACCGCUGGAACUCCAGAAGGACAAUCAAGAACUAAGCCCCUAGAUUGGGUUUGUAACUCAUUAGCAGGGCGUGUCCUAUUAGCAUUGUCCUCAACUAGGACAGAGGAGUUUUCUUGAGCUUCAGAUCAUCUUAGUGGCAAGAUCUGAAAAACGAACAAAUGGGAAUUAGAAGAAAUUUCAAGACCUUAGACUCUACAAUCCAAAAUAAGACAACAAGAAAGGAAAACAUUCCUAAAUGCCUCGUAGCCUCACUCUUAUAAGUGUGGCGCGCUAUACACCCAUAAAAUAGACUAUACAUGACACAACUUUAUAGACACCCAAUUGACCAUGGACCUAGGCUCUGAUACCACCAGACAUGACCCAAACUAGGGCCCGAUCGUGACGGGUAUCUUAAGCCCAACAAAGAUCAUAGACCACCCCCAAAACUUGAACCAUCGACCACCUUACAUCCAUGUCAGAUGAAUUUCAAACGUAUAACAAGAUAAGAGCACUUCAAAUUAAGGAUAUUAUGAUGUGUGUAUAACCAAAAAAACCAACAACCAACAAUCAAACCAUCCCAAAUCCACAGUAGUCCAACAAAGCCUCUACAAAAUUGAAUAUCAAUAAAGUGUCGGGACAUGCCUCCGAUUAUAGCCAAAAAUAGUGUCCAAUAGUCUAUAACUCAAAAGAAAACAUAAUCCUAAAAUGGAGCCUUCCAAGGAAUGGAAGCUCACAACUUCAAGUUGACUCUUGAUCAAUCCGCAAUCACUAAGUAAAAAAAGUAGAGGUAUGGCCAAAUCCUACAUCGCGUGGGGAUACAACAUCCAAAGUCGUUUAGCUGGGUGAAUGCUAGCAUGUAACUUAAGGACAAAUAUAAAGUAAUACCAUGAUUAACAAUUUCAAAUCAUUCAAAUCCAAUUCACAUAAUCAAGUGUAUAUACAUAUACUUAUAACAUACCAGGACAGGGAACAGGGAUUACCAUGCACUUUAAAACCUUAACCUAGAUUGUGUAACUCAACCAUCAUAUCACAGUACCCAUGGGCUAUAUGGGCCCUAGUUUUCACCCCCUAGUUGGGUCCCAAUAUGUGUAGCCACAUGAAAUGAAGAAUAAUCUCAUAUAUAUGCAUGGGAGACUUAAACCUCCCAACGAUAAACUAAGGUGACUUAAGCACCCAAUCAUGUAAUGAUUUACAAGGGACUCGAACCCUCCAAUCAUAAUAAUAACAAUAAGAUAAACUUUAACCACCUAGUCACGAGCAAGGGGACUCGAACCCUCAUGCCAUAACGACCCCUGCACUGACUAGUGCAAUUUUUAGUAUGGGUCACUUGGACCUCCACUUUCAUGACUCAGGUACACAACCCUCUUUUAAAGCCUAAUUAAAAGCAUUUAGCACAUAUUCCCCAUUACUGAAUCAUAUUUCAUAUUAAGGCAUACAUUGUUGGUAUCAUCGUGUCAACUACACUUGCAAGGUAAUAACAAUAUGCCAAGACAAUUUCCAUUAAAUUGGGAAGAACAAAUCCAUUUAUUCAUCAAUACAAAGGUGGGGAACAUUGACUCUCUUUGUUCAUUAAAUCAGACCAUUAUGUUUUAAAUACCUCUUUAUCAUGCAAUAGUUCAAGACUAGUUCAACUUUAGAAAUUCCCAUAUUUCUGAUAAUUAAAAGCCAAUUUCCCAUUAUGAGGUUGGGUUCAUAACCACUUCAAAAGUCACAAGCUUGGGAAAUUACAAUUUCCUAGAUCAUUCACCAUACUCAUGGUCCCACAAGUUCAAAACCAUAUUUAAAGUAUGGAAAUCAAACAUAAACCAUGAGAAACAUUGUUCAAUUCAUAAACAUUCAAUAACCCCAACCUUUAUUUCAAAACAAACAUAAACAUCCCAUGAACAAUACUUUAAAAAAUAUGCUUUUACAAAAUUAACAAUGAGGGAAGAGUAAUAUGCCUAAAAUAGUAAGAUGUACAGAGAGAAAUCACCCUUAAAAGCCCUAAGUGAUCAACCUCUUAAAAAACCUAAGUGUUCGUGACCUUAAGGAUUCAAGAGAAAUUGAAGAGUUACUUUGAUGUGUUUUUGAGGGCUAAUGAUAUCCUAAAGAGGUUAUAAGAUGUGGGUUUCAAUUUGGGUAAGAGGGAAAAUAUCUAGAAUGCCUUUAAUUUAAAAGCUGCAAAAAGUGUCGCCUUUGAAUAUGGGUCAACCCUUGAAUUGUAGUCACUUCCCACGAGUCGUAACUAAGGUAGUACUACCAAGGCACCCUAUAAUAUUAUCCUUAUAACUAAAUGGCACUACUCGUAUUGGGACCCUAUAACUCGUAGGGUCCAGUCGUAGUCAGCACAGAAUCCAAAUUGGGACUUACACUGGACGCCUUAUGAUUACACUUAAUGACUCGUGACAUAUCCUUACGACUCUUAGUAAGUCAUUCGUACUCAGAGCAGAAUCAAGACACAAUAAACUUACUGAUUUGGUUACGACUUUUCUAAUGACUCGUCAGGAUACCCUACGACUCAUAGGGUGAGUCGUUACCAAGGUAGUGAGCUCAAAGCUCAAGAAAUUUUCAAAGACCAAAAUUCGAGGUGCUUUGUGAAAGAAAAUGAAGACAACAUUCAAUAGCAAAAUUUUCUUUCCAAUUUAGAUUUCAUAAAAAAAUCACAAGAAGAUAUGAGUAGGAACUCUGAAAAAUCUAAUAGUUAUCACUCCUUCAAGCAAUAGGAGAAAUUGUAGUUAUAGCAUAGAGAACCAACCAUGUCUUCUUUUAAAUACUCAUAGAAAUGACUUGCAAUUAUAAAAACAAACUCACCUUAAACUAUAUACUCAAUCAAAAUUCUCAGUAACCACAUAACUCUAACAGUAGGAAUUAUACAAUCUUUAGUUUGCUUGGAUAGCCAACCAAAAUAAUAUGGACAAAUUUGCAAUCACGGACACAAUUAUUAAUUGCAUGAUAUUCUUCCAUUGUUUCAAAAAAUUCUCACUAAUUACUCUCAAAAAUUAAAAAAGAAGAAGAAAUUAAACCACCAAAAGACAAAAUCAUAGAUCUUGGCAAAGUUCACAAGAAGCAAAAUACAAACUCAAUUCCAUGAUAUAGAAAAAAGUAGAGCUAGAUUGGACUCCUACUGGUUCUUAAUUUAGUACUUUCAGUUCUAUAAAAUUGGAAACAAGUAGAAAUAGAAACAAGUAAAACUUAAAAAUUCAUACAUACAUAUAUCAAAAUAUGUCAACAAUUCAACAGAAAUUUAACACGAUGUUGAAGAGUGUGAAGUUGUAGAAAUUUUAGAGAUUGCUAAAACUUCUGGGAAAUAUCUAAACCCUACCUGAGUGUCGAUGAAGCAAGAUGCCUAUUGUUAUUCUUCUUCCUACAAAACAAACUCUUAAUAGGUGACCCACUUCUUGCUAGGCACUUCACUCUUGGUGUACCUAAUAACAUUCUUUCAUACCGUCUUGAAUGGAUACAAAUGAUUGAAUACCUAAAUAAAGAGAUAAAAUGAGUAAGGGAUUUGGGCAGAGAUUGAAGCUUCAAACCUCCCAUAUACAAAAUGUGAGAAAGAUUGAAGAGAUUUGAACAGAGAGUUGAACUUAGGGAUUUGGGCAGACCGAGCUUACGAGGAAUCAAUUUUUGAGCUUAUGAGACAAAUAUUUGUGAGUUGAGCUUUUGCACAUUUACUUUAUGAAUUUUUUCUGGCAAAUUAGAUAUUAGGGGGAGAGCUAAAUGUGUUGGAGGGAAUAUAAUAUUUUAGAGAAAAUUU